Molecule: ribosomal RNA, 505 nt
Filed under: uncultured bacterium
Lineage: Bacteria
Description: partial 16S ribosomal RNA
Rfam family: Bacterial small subunit ribosomal RNA
Source: RNAcentral
GACGAACGCUGGCGGCGUGCCUAAUACAUGCAAGUAGAACGCACAGUUUAUACCGUAGCUUGCUCCACCAUAGACUGUGAGUUGCGAACGGGUGAGUAACGCGUAGGUAACCUGCCUGGUAGCGGGGGAUAACUAUUGGAAACGAUAGCUAAUACCGCAUAAUAUUGAUUAUUGCAUGAUAAUUGAUUGAAAGAUGCUAUUGCAUCACUACCAGAUGGACCUGCGUUGUAUUAGCUAGUAGGUGAGGUAACGGCUCACCUAGGCGACGAUACAUAGCCGACCUGAGAGGGGGAUCGGCCACACUGGGACUGAGACACGGCCCAUACUCCUACGGGAGGCAGCAGUAGGGAAUCUUCGGCAAUGGACGAAAGUCUGACCGAGCAACGCCGCGUGAGUGAAGAAGGGUUUCGGAUCGUAAAGCUCUGUUGUAAGAGAAGAACGGGUGUGAGAGUGGAAAGUUCACACUGUGACGGUAUCUUACCAGAAAGGGACGGCUAACUACGUG